AUUUUGGACAAUGGGGGAGACCCUGAUCCAGCCAUCCCGCGUGUGUGAUGAAGGCCUNNNGGUUGNAAAGCACUUUUGACAGGNAAGNAAUAGCAGGGGCUAAUAUCCUCUGUGACUGACGGUACCUGUAGAAUAAGCACCGGCUAACUACGUGCCAGCAGCCGCGGUAAUACGUAGGGUGCAAGCGUUAAUCGGAAUUACUGGGCGUAAAGGGUACGCAGGCGGCUAGGAAAGAAAGAUGUGAAAUCCCAGGGCUCAACCUUGGAACUGCAUUUUUAACUACCUAGCUAGAGUAUGUCAGAGGGGGGUAGAAUUCCACGUGUAGCAGUGAAAUGCGUAGAGAUGUGGAGGAAUACCGAUGGCGAAGGCAGCCCCCUGGGAUAAUGCUGACGCUCAGGCACGAAAGCGUGGGGAGCAAACA
Molecule: ribosomal RNA, 421 nt
Filed under: uncultured bacterium
Lineage: Bacteria
Description: partial 16S ribosomal RNA
Rfam family: Bacterial small subunit ribosomal RNA
Source: RNAcentral